AAAAUAAUACAAAUCCUAGAUAAGCUAGAAAUAAUAGGAGAAAAACCCUUGCAACAUUGGGACUCCAAUCAAAUUACCUGCAAAUUAGAAAUAAUUAAUCCAGAAUAUACUAUAAAAACAACAUCUAUAGAAGCUACAAAUGAAGACCUUAAAGACUUUGAAAUACAAAUAAAAGAGCUACUAAAAUUAGGAAUAAUUAGAAGAUCGACAUCAAGACAUAGGUCAACGGCUUUCAUAGUAAGAAACCAUAAUGAAAUAGUGAUAGGAAAAGCUAGAAUGGUAAUAAAUUACAAAAGACUAAAUGAUAAUACUGUAAUGGAUGGAUAUAAGUUACCAGACAAAAUAAAAUAAAUAAAUAGAAUACAAGGAAGAAAAGUAUUUAGUAAAUUUGAUUGUAAAUCUGGAUAUUGGCAGAUUAAAAUGCAUGAAGAUAGUAUAGAAUGGACAACUUUCACAUGUCCAGAAGGACAUUUUGAAUGGCUAGUCAUGCCGUUUGGAUUAAAGAUGGCUCCUACAAUUUUUCAAAGAAAAAUGGAUAGUAUUUUUAGAGACUAUAAAAAAUUUGUACUAGUUUACGUAGAUGAUAUUUUAGUUUUUAGCAAUAAUAUGAGAGAACAUCUAGGACAUUUACAACAAGUUUUUAAAUUAUUUGUAGAUAAUGAAAUAAUAAUAAGUAGAAAGAAAAUGAAAUUAUGUAAAAAUAUUAUUAAUUUCUUAGUAGUAGUUAUUGGAGAUGGUAGAAUAAAAUUACAACCACACAUAGCUAAAAAAAUCUUAGAAAUGCCAAAUAAAUUAGACAAGACUAAAGAUUUACAAAAUUUUUUAGGACUCUAAAAUUAUGUUGGAGCUUUUAUCAAAGAUUUAGGAAAAGUAGCAGGGACACUAUACUCUAAAAUAGGAUCGACAGGUCAAAAAUCCUUUAAUACUGAAGACAUAAAAUUAAUCCAACAACUUAAAAGCAUGAUACAAGACUUUCCAGACUUAACGUUACCAUUAGAAAUAGAUUAUUUAAUAGUCAAGACAGAUGGAAGCCUUCAAGGAUGAUGAGCAGUAUUAAAAGCAAAACCUAACAAAUAUAAUGACAAAAAAGAUGAAAAAAUUUGUGCUUAUUCAAGUGAAAAAAUAAAGAAAAAGGAAAAUUAAAUAGCAUAGAUGCAGAGACACUAGCAGUAAUUUAUGAUUUGAAUAGUUUUAAAUUUUAUAUAUUAAAUAAGUCCAAAAUAUUAGUAAGAACAGACUGCGAAGCUAUAGUAAAGUUUUAUCAGAAAAUAAAAGAUAAGAAUAGUAGUAAAAGGAGAUGGUUAAAUUUCCUAGAUGCUACUUCAAUCUAUAAUAUUGAUUUAGAACAUAGUAAAGGAAAAGAUAAUAACUUAGCAGAUCAACUAAGUAGAUUAAUUAAAUAAGACAACUAACGAUUUUUGUUUCAGUAUAAAUAUAGGAAAAGAAAAAAGCAAGGCAGAAGCCUCAUCAUCCCAAGACUAUCUAAAGACACUAAUGAGCAACACUCGUUUUAGACCACUUACGAUGCUAGAACAACCAAAAUUAGAUAGAAUAAUUUUUGGACCCCACAACUUGGUAUGUUAUGAACCAUCCAACUUAACUUUCAGACGAAAGCCAGACGUACAGGUUGAUUGGCUGCAGAUAUGUCUACUUGACAAUCUGUGGAUGGCUUAUAAUAGAAGUGACAUUAAUUAUUUUAUUUCAGUUCUAAAUGCAUUAAGUUACUAUUUUACUGAGAAAAAUACUACUAACAGGUUUAAAUUCUAUGUUGUUCUCAGAGGACAGCAGCAUGGAGUGUUCCAGACUUGGAUAGAGGUAAUGGACGCCAUAAAAGAGUAUAGAACACCUCUUUAUAAAGGUUUUUAUGACCUCUCAAAGACUCUAGACUAUGCCCGGAGAAAUCUAGAACCAAAUUGUUUUAUUAAUCCAGCUUUAAGACCAGAAACACAAAAAAUUCCUUAAUAUAAUAUUAACAAAGACAUAGACAAAAUUAUAUUUUGUGAUGAUUGUUCGCCUAUGAACGGAGCUUUUCAAAGACUAAAUCAAGCCAAUGAAGUUUUGAAACAAGAUAAUGAAAACCUUGUAAAAGAAAAAGGAUAGAUGUUAGAACAUAUAAGUAUUUUACAAGACCGUAUAAAAAUCGUUCAUUUUGAACUUUCACAACAGACUCACCCAAUUUAUGAGACCCAGCCAAAGAGUUCUCCAUCUUCUUUAAAAAUGAAAAACCCACUGUAUCGGGUAAUGAUACAGCUAGUCCAACUCAAACGGUAGCUGGUAAAGACUUCUCAAAUCCGUUAAUGGGUGUGCAUUCCCCAAUGAAUGCAACAAGACCCACUGUAUCGGGUAAUGAUAUAGCUAGUCCAGCUCAAACGAUAGCUGGUAAAACUCAUCAAAUCCGUUGAUGGCUGACACUUUGCCAAAAAGUGUAGGGAGAAUACUCCUAGCUAGUUUUAAAAACACAGGUACUCAGACAAUAGAUGAAGGAAGUUCUUCUCAGAAUAAAAAAGUUUUUUCAUUAAGAAAAAUGAAAAAUGAAAAAAGAUAUAUAGAAAAAAUAAUAGCAAACUCAAUAAAAAAGUUGUUAGCAGAACAAUCGCCCAAGGAGAUAUCUAUGAAUCCAGAACCACCAGAACAAAGAUCAAGAAUUUCUUUAAUUCUAAGAGAAGAGACAAGAACUGGAACAAGACUAGGAUUAUCAGAUGGAGACAGUGAUGAGUAUGAAAGAGAAUACAACUCAGCCAUGGAUCAAUUUGCCCAAGACCCAAAUGCAGACGAUGAUUCAGGAAUGGAGUUUGACUCAGAAGCUUUACACAAUUUGGAUACGUAAGAAAUGACGAUAUCUACAAAAGACAAAAUAGCAGAAGUAUGCAAUAUCAGAUAAAUAAAUGAAUGGAGGAGAAUUAAAGAAAGAUAUUAGCCUCCGGGCCCACCCAAGUUGAUAAGUCUUGCUAAAGUCCUUGUAAAGGAUUUGAAAUCCACAAAAAAGUAAGAUUUGAAGUCCAAAAAUGCCUAUAAAUAGCCCCUUUAUGGAAGACAAAAAAAUGUACAAAAGAGAGAAAAAAUCAAGAGUGAGAAAUUUUUCAUAAAGUUCUUAGUUUCCAAAGUUUGUAAGUUAGUUAAAAAAAAAAGUGUGUGAAAAGUGUGAAGUUUUCUUAGUUCUUCAUUUUUCGGUAGCUGUCAAGUUUUCAGGGGACUCCCGAAAGGGAAACCUCACUUCUUCCUUAAGACAUGUAAGUAGUAGUUACAUAGGUCUUUGCAAUUUUCUACCAAGUUUGUAAAUUAUGUUUGAAUUAAUUAAGUUUAUAUUUUCUUUCACAUAUGUUUUAUUAUUAAGAUCCGAAUCACUGGCAGUUUUCUGACAGUUUUUCUGAUCUUGAAAAAUUUAUGAAUUACUUAUAAAAAUACCCUCAGUAUAUGGUUAUUCUCUCAGUGUUUUAGCAAUCACGAUGGAUUAAUCUGUAAAUUUCUAGGGACUUGGAAAGUCCAAAGAAGAUUGAAAGAAGGACUGUUGUUAUUCUCCCAGGGUGUGAUUAAAGAAGAUAUUGCUAAAAUACCUAAAUCUGAAGAGAAAGAGAUGAACAGGGUAUAAAAAAUUAAAAAAAAAAAUUAAAAAAUCAAUAAAUCAAAAAAUACAAAAUAAUAUAUAUUGGGAGAAAAUACACUUGGACCUUUAUACUAGACUAAGGACAACGAAGGAGGGAGUACUGAGUAGGACUUUACACCAUAUUAAAAUAAACUCAUGAUAUUUCUACUUUAAUAACUUAAAAAAUUACUUACCUGCUUUAAUAACUUGUUACAAUAAUUUGCUUGCUAUAUUUAUCUGUCUAUCUUAUUAUACUAACUAUAUCCAUUUGUCUAACAUAAAUACUUACUAUCAUAUAUAUACUAUAUAUAUUCACUACUUAUAUAUAUACUUACUAACACACACACACACACACACACACACACACACACACACACAUAUAUAUAUAUAUAUACACACUUAGACUUAUGUUGCUAGUCACUAUUUAUUAUUAGCUUUGUUAAUAUAUCUAUCUGUCUAUUUUAUAUAAUAUUAUUGUUUGUUAUCUGUCUAUCUUAUAUAUAUAUCUACUUAAUAUCUCUGUUUAUUAUUUGUAUAUCUUUCUGUCUAUUUUUUUUUAUAUAUACCUAUUUAUUUAUCUUAUAUCUGCUUAAUAUCUUGUUUAUUAUUAUAUCCAGAGAAAUACAAAGAGAAUAUAAUCAUUUAUAUAAAGAAAUAAGACAAAGAAAUGAUAUUUUAAGAAUAGAACAAAGACUAAUAAAUCAAAUAGAAAUAUUAGAAACUACAGAAUUACCAGAAGCAAUCAUUAUUUUAGAUUUUAUAAAUUUCGUAAAUUGCAUAAAUCAUAUAAGUUUACUAAAGUGUAGAUUGGAAAGUAUUAGAUAUUGUAUAGACUAUAGAAAUUUUAGAUACAAACAGCUAAAAAAUAGUGUAGAAACAAUACACCCUCGUUAGGAUAAAGAAGAAUAGUAGUGUAAAAAUAGAUAAUUUAAAGAAGCUAGAAUAUUUAGAUCUAACAAUCCCAGUUGAAAAGAAAUACAGACGUUUUAAAGAUAAUUCUCUUAUUAGAUGUAAUUUUAACAAUGAAGAACAUACACUACACGAAGAAAAUCCACAAUUAAAUACCACUACAGAUUUUAUAAUAAACCUAGGAGAAAAGACUCAACAAGAAAAUACAAAAAUACUAAAAACUCUAGAGAUAUUAGAAGACCUGCAAAAUAAACAAAAGAAAUUUUUAGAUAAAAUAGAAUUAAAUUUUGAUUUCUUAAAGAACCUAGACAAAAAAUUCAAAGUUUUAAUUAACAAAGACAAAGGUCAUUUGGAAAAUUUCGAAAUAAGGCUAGCAUAAGGAUAAGCCAGAGGAAAACUUAGAUAAUAUAUUUCUUUUUUUAUUUUUCUUUUUUCUUAAUGAAAAACUCUUCUUAUUCUAGGAAAAACUUCCUUCAUCUAUUGUCUGAGUACCUAUGUUUUUAAAACUAGCUGGGAGUAUUCUUCCUACACUUUUUGGCAAAGUGUCAGCCAUCAACGGAUUUGAUGAGUCUUUACCAGCUACCAUUUGAGCUGGAUUAGCUGUAUCAUUACCAGAUACAGUGAGUCUUGCUGUAUUCAUUGGGGAAUGCACACCCAUUAGCAGAUUUGAGAAGUCUUUACCAGCUAUCAUUUGAGCUGGACUAGCUGUAUCAUUACACGAUACAGUGGGUUUUUCCAUUUUUAAAGAAGAUGGAGAACUCUUUGGCUGGGUCUCAUAAAUUGGCUGAGUUUGUUGUGAAAGUUCAAAAUGAAGGAUUUUUAUACGGUCUUGUAAAAUACUUACAUGUUCUAACAUCUGUCCUUUUUAUUUUACAAGGAUUUCAUUAUCUUGUUUCAAAACUUCAUUGGCUUAAUUUAGUCUUUGAAAAGCUCCGAUCAUAGAGGAACAAUGAUCACAAAAUAUAAUUUUGUCUGUGUCAUUGUUAAUAUUAUAUUGAGGAAUUUUUUGUGUUUCUGGUCUAAGUCUGUGUUAUUGACUAAGUGAUAGUCUGUGUUUAUUCUUUCUAGUCCUAUUUCAUUUAUAAAUUCGUCUUCUCCAGAGUCUGAAGAAUCAGAAUUAUCCUUUUCUUCUUCAAAAACUAACCCAAAAUAUCACUAAAAUAUGAUAAAGGAGAAAAUUAUACAUGUAAUGAUAAUAAAAAGGCAACAAUGUAUGAAGAAUUACAAAAUUUAUUAGUAGUAGAAGAAAUAGAAAAAGACUACAUUUUAAUAGAAAUGGAUACAGAAUUAUAUAGUUUUAAGAAAGGUAUACAACAGAUAGGAGUAAUAAAAGAUCAAAAAGACUUAGAAAAAAUAAUACAAAUCCUAGAUAAGCUAGAAAUAAUAGGAGAAAAACCUUUGCAACAUUGGGACUCCAAUAAAAUUACCUGUAAAUUAGAAAUAAUUAAUCCAGAAUAUAUUAUAAAAACAACAUCUAUAGAAGCUACAAAUGAAGACCUUAAAGACUUUGAAAUACAAAUAAAAGAGCUACUAGAAUUAGGAAUAAUUAGAAGAUC
This 6048-nucleotide long non-coding RNA is filed under the name Capsicum annuum. RNAcentral's name for it is "long non-coding RNA (CANN_LNC010300)". The record is from RNAcentral. Lineage: Eukaryota; Viridiplantae; Streptophyta; Magnoliopsida; Solanales; Solanaceae.